Rattus norvegicus (Norway rat) is the source of this 894-nucleotide non-coding RNA. The record is from RefSeq and is a predicted model, not a curated record. Lineage: Eukaryota; Metazoa; Chordata; Mammalia; Rodentia; Muridae.
GCCCUGCUCAACAUGUGUCCCAGCAGAAGGAAGUGAACAGGUCUGGGUAUUAGCGGUGGAACCUUUAAGACAUGCUGCUGAUCAGCUACGGUUUAAAGCUGAAUCAAAUCAAGAGCAACUCCACAGCACUCAGCUGGAGCAAUGAAGUGAGAGUCUUCCAUUCUGAGUGAGAGAGAGACAGCUAGAACACUGACUGCAACAAUCGGUAGCCUUUCUACACAGCAGGGUUCCCAGGUACCAGGAGGAGACCUUCACCCCAGACAAGAUCUCUCCCCAGGAGCUCCAGCCACUCUGCACUGUCGGCUACAGCUCAGUCCACUGAUAAGGAGGAGGAAGGAAUGCUGCUGGGAACACAGGCCCGGGUGAAGGAACAAGACUGAAGGCUGAAAGACCCACUGAAGACAGUCUGCAUCAGAAUCUCAUCCCCUACACGAGCCUACCGACGGUGUGCCUGUACCUGCCGAUGGUCUAUCUGUCACGGUGUGCCUCUACAGGAACAGCAACUGCAUGUAGCCCACUGACUCCCAGACUGCUGGAAUUCUAGAAUCCAUGCAGCAAACGAGCAGCUAGGCUGCGUCCUCUAAGUCACUACCAUCCUAGCUGAGAGGAGUUAACUGAAAUCAAUCUGUUGAAUGUUGUUCCAUAAAACCAUCCAUGCAUACAAGACAAGAGCUUAAAACCACCAUACUAACUAAUCACACAGCAUCUCUGUGUACCACACAAAGCCACUCAAAGGACAGCAGACAGCAAAGGCAGCUAGGACUUUUAUCAUUUAUUUGGUGAUAGGUCUUAUGAAGCCAGACCAGGAUUAUAGGAGUAUGCCACCAGGCCUGGCUCAAUUACUGUUUUUAAAUGAUAACACUUUGAAUUGAAAUUAAAAGAUACUUUCCACAA